Molecule: long non-coding RNA, 1216 nt
Filed under: Monodelphis domestica (gray short-tailed opossum)
Lineage: Eukaryota; Metazoa; Chordata; Mammalia; Didelphimorphia; Didelphidae
Description: lncRNA (ENSMODG00000039423.1)
Source: RNAcentral
GGCUGAUUUAGAUUCUAGAGUAGUUUAAUGGUUAGUUUUUUUAAAAAAUUUAUUUAAUUAGUUAAUUGAGAAUAUUUUUUUCCAGGGUUACAAGAUUCAUGUUCUUUCCCCGUCCUCCCCUAACCCUCUCCCAUAGCUGAUGUGCAAUUUUACAUGUGUCAUUGAUUAAGACCCAUUUCCAUACCAUUGAUAUUUUCAUGAGGGUGAUCUUAAUGGUUAGUUCUUCUUCUUCUUCUUCUUCUUCUUCUUCUUCUUCUUCUUCUUCUUCUUCUUCUUCUUUCUUCUUCUUCUUUCUUCUUCCUUCUUCCUUCUUCUUCUUUCUUCUUCCUUCUUCUUCCUUCUUCUUCUUCUUCUUCUUCUUCUAUCUUCUUCAAUAAAGACCUUUACUUUCUGUCUUAGAAUUGAAAUUAAGUAUUAUUUCCAAGGCAGAAGAAUGGCAAAGACAGGGAAAAUUGGGGUCAAGUGACUUGCCCAGGGUCACACAGCUCAUAUUUGAACUCAGAACCUCCCAUCUCCAUAUCUGGCUCCCUAUCCACUGAGACAUCUAACUGCCCCUUGGCUAUUAGUUCUUAUUCUAAUCUUACUGAGCAUUGCAAUUCUAUAAUCUUCAUGAUGGAGCCAUGAAUGAAUCACAUUGACUCUGUGUCACCAAUUGUAAGAUUUUAAAAUUGGGUGAGAUCUUAUUCCAAUCUCAUUUUUUACAAUUCUCUCUGCCUAAAACUAAGGCUAACCUACUUAAAAGUUGAUGGGACAAUAUGACAUAGUUGAUAAAGCAUCAAUCUUAUAGCCAGGGGUACCAAAGUUCAAAUUUGACCUCUGAAAGGUCAAAAUGACAAAUGUUGGAGGGGAUAUGGAAAAAAUGGAGACACUGAUACAUUGUUGGUAGAACUGUGAAGUGAUCCAGCUAUUUUGGAGAGCAAUCUGGAAUUAUGUCAGAAGUUAUAAAAAUUAUGUAUACCCUUAAACCUAGCUAUACCACUAUUAGGCCUUAUAAAAUACCCUAAAUAUCCUAAAAUAUUUAUAGCAGCUCUCCUUGUGAUGGCAAAGAACUGGAAAUUGAGGGGAUGUCCAUCAAUUGGAGAAUGGCUAAACAAGUUGUGGCUAUGAUUGUGAUGGAAUACUAAUUGUGUCAUAAGAAAUGAUGAGUAGGCUAAUUUUUUUAAAAACAUGGAAAGAUCUACAUGAAAUUAUGAAGAGUAAAAUGAAUAGAACAACA